RNAcentral lists this ribosomal RNA (429 nucleotides) under uncultured bacterium. Its description in RNAcentral is "bacterial SSU rRNA". It matches the Rfam family "Bacterial small subunit ribosomal RNA", at positions 355 to 775 of the family's 1533-position model. The record is from RNAcentral.
UGGGGAAUUUUCCGCAAUGGGCGAAAGCCUGACGGAGUGACGCCGCGUGGGGGACGAAGGCCUUCGGGUCGUAAACCCCUGUCAGAGGGAAAGAAGGGUCGCCGACCUAACACGUCGGUGAUCUGACGGUACCUUCAGAGGAAGCCCCGGCCAACUCUGUGCCAGCAGCCGCGGUAAGACAGAGGGGGCAAGCGUUGCUCGGAAUCACUGGGCGUAAAGGGCGCGUAGGCGGGAUGGCAAGUCGGUCGUGAAAUCCUUCGGCCCAACCGAAGAACGUCGGCCGAUACUGCCGUUCUUGAGGGAUGCAGAGGAGACUGGAAUUCCCGGUGUAGCGGUGAAAUGUGUAGAGAUCGGGAGGAACACCGGUGGCGAAGGCGGGUCUCUGGGCAUUUCCUGACGCUGAGGCGCGAAAGCGUGGGGAGCAAACGG